UUCAUUAUCAUCAUCAUCAUCACCAGGAGCAGAAGAAGAAGAGGCAGCCCGCGCUAAACUGAACUGACUCCAAACAACUUCUACCGCUUUUUUAUGGUCACUUUAAUGGGACGUAGGCAGCAGAAACGUGUGUUUUGGCAUAAAUACCUCCAAACUGAAGGAUCCAGUUGAAGCCCGAAGAGAGAGAGCAGACCAUCAUGCUCCAUGAAGGGUCGACCCUGAACGCCGUCCAUGGUCCGCCUGAAAAAAACCCACACACCGCUCCAUCAGUUUCUACUCACCUACUCCCUGACUGUAGACGAUUCUUCCUGCUGUCGUGUUCCAGUGUUCCUGUUGCAAUAAAAAAGAACUG
Molecule: long non-coding RNA, 352 nt
Organism: Sebastes umbrosus (honeycomb rockfish)
Lineage: Eukaryota; Metazoa; Chordata; Actinopteri; Perciformes; Sebastidae
Exons: 3
Source: RefSeq, a predicted model, not a curated record